CUCCUCUACACAGCUCCAGAUAUCCAAGAAAUCUGCAUAAGUGUGUUUGCUUUAAAAAGCCUUCACUUCUCAAAAUCUGAUUGAAAUUGGCAGAUUCGGGAAUUAAAGGAAAAGACACUGAAAUUAUGUUUUCCUAGCAUUCUUAAGGAAUCUUUCCUAGCAAUCUUAAGGAUUAGAAGUACACUUUUUUGGCACAGGCUGCUUGAAGAAAAAUAUGCCUUUGUAGUACAAUAAUUCACAAGAAGAAAACGGUUCAAAACAAGCCCCUUCCCCAAAUUGUCUAUUCGGAGACACAAACAGUUUGGUUAACAAAAGGAAUCUCAACAUUGUGGCCCACUGGCAGAAGUCCCACUCAGUUAAUUAAAAGAAUGUAAUGCCAGCAAGAAUGAGGUCCUCUGCUAUAUUCCAGCAGCAGCGAAGGAUCAUCUUGUGCUGCAGCUUCUCCAGGACAACGCUUCAGAACAAGAGCAGGAAAAGUUGAGAUCAAAACUUCUGCCAACAGCAGCCAAAAUUUUAGAGGCAGAUGGAAUUGCUGAGCACACAAAUGAAACCAUUUGCACACAGCAACACAAAGGUCUUGGCACAAAACAUGUGAUGACCUCUGCCACAGAAGGGUCUGGACACUGCUGUCAAGAACUCACACGGCAUUUUAGGGACUAAAACUCCACAAACACAAUUCAAAUUAAAACCACAUAUUCUAAGUGCUAAGUGAGUUUAUUCUCCUCAUCUGUGGCUGAAGAAGUAACAGUGAAAUUAUACCUAAGUUUAGAGAAGUUGCUAAUCUUGGACAGCUCAGGAUUGCUCACACACAGAGAAUUAAGCACUGCUGACACUCACUGUUAAAUAAAGCCCCUCCAAAAACAUCAGCAAUAAAACCACUUUAGCAACAACUCCAAGAGGAAAAGCAGCUGCACAGUCGUGGUGCAGAGGCUGAGCCAGAAUUUUGUGCUGUUUUUAGAGGAGCUACAGCUUUUUGAGGAAAAGAGUGUUCUCUUAGCUCGGGAUUGCAGGAAGGAACAGCAACUUUUCUUACCAUCUGGGACAAAAACAUGGGCUCUGAAUUUUCGACUGGAACCAGACAUUUGGUGCUUAGGACUCCUAAAAUAAAAGCAGUUUUACUGUGGUCAGAAUCAUUUGUGGUGCAUUUUAUGCACAGCUCCACACUUCCCUCAUCUCUGAAUGCCUGAACAUCAUGACCCUCACAACAC
This 1208-nucleotide long non-coding RNA is filed under the name Cyanoderma ruficeps (rufous-capped babbler). Its description in RNAcentral is "lncRNA (ENSCRFG00000005591.1)". The record is from RNAcentral. Lineage: Eukaryota; Metazoa; Chordata; Aves; Passeriformes; Timaliidae.